GCCUUCGUGGCGUAGCUGGUUAUCGCGUAAGUCUCAUACCACUUUGUAUGACUGAGCUUCAAGCUUGGAUAUCUUAAGGCCGUGAGUUCGAACCUCACCGAGGGCA
This 106-nucleotide transfer RNA is filed under the name Imshaugia aleurites. It matches the Rfam family "tRNA". From Rfam's summary of the family: Transfer RNA (tRNA) molecules are approximately 80 nucleotides in length. Their secondary structure includes four short double-helical elements and three loops (D, anti-codon, and T loops). The record is from Rfam by way of RNAcentral. Lineage: Eukaryota; Fungi; Ascomycota; Lecanoromycetes; Lecanorales; Parmeliaceae.